CGUCCCCUGCGGUGCGCGUGAUGUGCCAGAUAUCCCGUGGACCUAUAAGUCAUGAUCUCGGGGGUCGGUGCGGAUACCGGUGUGCAAGCCCGUCUCGAGCGGGAAGCCUGAAGGGUCCCUAAGACCUGCCAAACUUGAGCCUUCGGUUCAAGGAUGACGGUGCACACGGCACUCGCGGAGGACGU
RNAcentral lists this non-coding RNA (185 nucleotides) under Candidatus Muproteobacteria bacterium RBG_16_62_13. RNAcentral's name for it is "6S RNA". It matches the Rfam family "6S / SsrS RNA". Rfam says of the family: E. coli 6S RNA was the first non coding RNA to be sequenced, but its function was unknown until recently. It consists of 184 nucleotides that fold into an extended hairpin structure with a large single-stranded internal bulge. Lineage: Bacteria; Pseudomonadati; Pseudomonadota; Candidatus Muproteobacteria. The record is from RNAcentral.